RNAcentral lists this long non-coding RNA (582 nucleotides) under Phoenix dactylifera (date palm). RNAcentral's name for it is "long non-coding RNA (PDAC_LNC009851)". The record is from RNAcentral. Lineage: Eukaryota; Viridiplantae; Streptophyta; Magnoliopsida; Arecales; Arecaceae.
CGCCCAUGUCUUCGCAGUUCAAAGACAUCCUCCCAGAUUUCGUCCGCAAUCAUCCCACGAUUUGGCUGUAUCCCGUUCGAAUCAAACACUCCAUCCAAGCUUCACGGAACAGAGCAUCCUCUCACGGGAUAAACUCAACGUCCCAACUCAUCUCCCCUUCAUCCCGUGUGCAUGCCAUUAGGACCCAAGGAACAGAUUCUGCAUCCCCUGCAUCCGCAACAUCCCAAACUUCCACACAUGGAUCCCAACCUUCUUCUCAUUCCAGAUUGAAUUUAGCUUUCCAUCACCCACGGAUAAGCCCAAAUCCAGCACUCCAUCCUAUUAUCCUUAUCCUGUAAUCACCCAGAUCUCUCAUCAUCUCAUCUGCAUCUCCCCAACUUCUUCCGCUAGAUCCCAGCAAGGAUGAGCCUUCCGAACUCCCAGAUUUCAUCCAAGCAUCCGUUCGAGCUCCCUUGUUUCAUGCAUCUUAAUCUCCCGCGUGAAUCCCAAACGUAUCUCUCCCAUGUCAUGGCUUCUGAUCCCUCUUCCCAGACUUUACGGAAACAAAACAGAGCAGUUUCCUUUCCUCCCGUAUCCACAGAU